This 419-nucleotide ribosomal RNA is filed under the name uncultured bacterium. RNAcentral describes it as "bacterial SSU rRNA". It matches the Rfam family "Bacterial small subunit ribosomal RNA", at positions 338 to 754 of the family's 1533-position model. The record is from RNAcentral.
CCUACGGGAGGCAGCAGUGAGGAAUAUUGGUCAAUGGGCGCGAGUCUGACCCAGCCAUGUCGCGUGCAGGAAGACGGCUUUAUGGUUCGUAAACUUCUUUUGCAGGGGAAUAAACCGCAGUACGUGUCCUGUGCUGUAGGUACCUUGAGAAUAAGCAUCGGCUAACUCCGUGCCAGCAGCCGCGGUAAUACGGAGGAUCCGAGCGUUAUCCGGAUUUAUUGGGUUUAAAGGGUGCGUAGGCGGUUUAAUAAGUCAGCGGUGAAAUUUUGCAGCUCAACCGUAAAAAUGCCGUUGAUACUGUCGGUCUUGAGUGUAAAUGAGGUGGGCGGAAUGUGUGGUGUAGCGGUGAAAUGCAUAGAUAUCACGCAGAACUCCGAUUGCGAAGGCAGCUCACUAAGUUACAACUGACGCUGAAGCAC